RNAcentral lists this unclassified non-coding RNA (1539 nucleotides) under uncultured Phallales. Its description in RNAcentral is "sequence contains 18S rRNA gene, ITS1, 5.8S rRNA gene, ITS2, 28S rRNA gene". The stretch from base 547 to 1539 matches the Rfam family "Eukaryotic large subunit ribosomal RNA", at positions 1 to 961 of the family's 3401-position model. Lineage: Eukaryota; Fungi; Basidiomycota; Agaricomycetes; Phallales. The record is from RNAcentral.
GGAAGGAUCAUUGCCGAUUUUGACUUGACGGAGGGAGGUUUUCAGAGACUCUCGAAGCGCUCGCCUCUUUUCCGAAACGAAAACACCUCUGUGCACUUAUCGGGGGGUCACCCUCCCCGUUAUAAUCGAACGCCUUAUCCUGUCGCGUGCGUAUUUGGAAAAAGUUUGAAUUUGAAAUACAACUUUCAACAACGGAUCUCUUGGCUUUCGCAUCGAUGAAGAACGCCGCGAAAGCGCGAAACGUAAUGUGAAUUGCAGAAUUCAGUGAAUCAUCGAAUCUUUGAACGCACCUUGCGCUCCUUGGUAUUCCGAGGAGCAUGCCUGUUUGAGUGUCCUGAAGUCUCAUCGGAAGGGGGUUCUGAGGGCCCUCGUUCGGAUUUUGGACGGUCUUUGCCCUUUGCCGAUCGCAAAGGGCUCGUCUUUGAAUUCAUGGGGUCGUUUCUUUUCGGACAGACGUGAUAAGUCUUGCGUCGUCUGGCAAAAAAGAUCCUUCCCCCCUCCUUCCUCCUCUAUGUUCGGGGAGGAGAUUUUUCACAAACCAUCCUCUGACCUCAAAUCAGGCAGGACUACCCGCUGAACUUAAGCAUAUCAAUAAGCGGAGGAAAAGAAACUAACAAGGAUUCCCCUAGUAACGGCGAGUGAAGCGGGAACAGCUCAAAUUUGUAAUCUGGCGGCUCUAAGGCCGUCCGAGUUGUAAUCUGGAGAAGCGUUUUCAGUGCCGGCCCGCGUACAAGUCCCCUGGAACGGGGCGUCGCAGAGGGUGAGAAUCCCGUCUCUGACGCGGUCUACCGGCACGCUGCGAUGCGCUCUCGAAGAGUCGAGUUGUUUGGGAAUGCAGCUCAAAAUGGGUGGUAAAUUCCAUCUAAAGCUAAAUAUUGGCGAGAGACCGAUAGCGAACAAGUACCGUGAGGGAAAGAUGAAAAGCACUUUGGAAAGAGAGUUAAACAGUACGUGAAAUUGUUGAAAGGGAAACGCUCGAAGUCAGUCGCGUCUCUCGGGAUUCAGUCGCGUCUUAGCGGACGGCGACGUACUUCCCGGGUCUGGACGGGCCAGUGUCGAUUUCGACCGUCGUAGAAAGGCAUGGGGAACGUGGCACCUUUUCCAAGGUGUGUUAUAGCCUCGCGUUCGUAUGCGACGGUGGGGAUCGAGGCACGCAGCGCGCCUCUUAUGAUGGCCGGGGUUCGCCCACGUAACGCGCUUGGGAUGCUGGCUUAAUGGCUUCGAGCGACCCGUCUUGAAACACGGACCAAGGAGUCUAACAUGCCCGCGAGUGUUCGGGUGGAAAACCCGUGCGCGUAAUGAAAGUGAAAGGUUGGGACCCUCCUCGGAGGGGCACCGACGCCCGGACUUGAGCUUCUGCGACGGUUCCGAGGCGGAGCGUGUAUGUUGGGACCCGAAAGAUGGUGAACUAUGCCUGAGUAGGGUGAAGCCAGAGGAAACUCUGGUGGAGGCUCGUAGCGAUUCUGACGUGCAAAUCGAUCGUCGAACUUGGGUAUAGGGGCGAAAGACUAAUCGAACCAUCUAGUAGCUGGUUCCUGC